Molecule: ribosomal RNA, 497 nt
Filed under: uncultured bacterium
Lineage: Bacteria
Description: partial 16S ribosomal RNA
Rfam family: Bacterial small subunit ribosomal RNA
Source: RNAcentral
GAUGAACGCUGGCGGCGUGCCUAAUACAUGCAAGUCGAGCGAACAGACGAGGAGCUUGCUCCUCUGACGUUAGCGGCGGACGGGUGAGUAACACGUGGAUAACCUACCUAUAAGACUGGGAUAACUUCGGGAAACCGGAGCUAAUACCGGAUAAUAUAUUGAACCGCAUGGUUGAAUAGUGAAAGACGGUUUUGCUGUCACUUAUAGAUGGAUCCGCGCCGCAUUAGCUAGUUGGUAGGGUAACGGCUUAGCACGGCAACGAUGCGUAGCCGACCUGAGGGAGUGAUCGGCCACACUGGAACUGGGACACGGUCCAGACUCCUACGGGAGGCAGCAGUAGGGAAUCUUACGCAAUGGGCGAGAGCUUUACGGAGCAACGCCGCGUGAGUGAUGAAGGUCUUGGGAUCGUAAAACUCUGUUAUUAGGGAAGAACAAAUGUGUAAGUAACUAUGCACGUCUUGACGGUACCUAAUCAGAAAGCCACGGCUAACUACGUG